RNAcentral lists this ribosomal RNA (631 nucleotides) under uncultured bacterium. RNAcentral's name for it is "bacterial SSU rRNA". It matches the Rfam family "Bacterial small subunit ribosomal RNA", at positions 10 to 649 of the family's 1533-position model. The record is from RNAcentral.
AGUUUGAUCCUGGCUCAGGAUGAACGCUAGCGGCAGGCCUAAUACAUGCAAGUCGAACGGUGAUAGCAAUAUCAUAGUGGCGCACGGGUGCGUAACACGUAUGCAACCUACCUAUUAUUGGGGGAUAGCCUUUGGAAACGGAGAUUAAUACCGCAUAAUACGAUUGACUGGCAUCGGUUGAUUGUUAAAGCUUUGGCGAUAAUAGAUGGGCAUGCGUCCAAUUAGUUAGUUGGUUAGGUAACGGCUGACCAAGACGAUGAUUGGUAGGGGAUCUGAGAGGAUAAUCCCCCACACUGGCACUGAGAUACGGGCCAGACUCCUACGGGAGGCAGCAGUAGGGAAUAUUGGGCAAUGGGCGGAAGCCUGACCCAGCCAUGCCGCGUGCAGGAAGAAGGCGUUAUGCGUUGUAAACUGCUUUUUUAUAGGAAGAAGGAUCCCUUGCGAGGGAAGGUGACGGUACUAUAAGAAUAAGCACCGGCUAACUCCGUGCCAGCAGCCGCGGUAAUACGGAGGGUGCAAGCGUUGUCCGGAUUUAUUGGGUUUAAAGGGUGCGUAGGCGGUUUAUUAAGUCGGUGGUGAAAGACGGUCGCUCCACGAUUGCAGUGCCAUUGAUACUGGUAGACUUGAGUGA